Molecule: long non-coding RNA, 2036 nt
Organism: Pomacea canaliculata
Lineage: Eukaryota; Metazoa; Mollusca; Gastropoda; Architaenioglossa; Ampullariidae
Exons: 8
Source: RefSeq, a predicted model, not a curated record
UAGUAGCACAGAAAGGGUUAACAGCUGUCUGAGGGCUUAUCCUGUUCUAUAUUUAGACUACACCUCACGUCCGCCACUCAGUGUCUUGACGAGGUUAUAUCAUUCACAUCAGAUUUAUUUCGGGACAAGUCCACCGAGGCAGCAACAACUAGCAGACGUCAGAGCAGGAUUAAUGAAGUCCAAAUUUUACCAGGAAACAGGUUAAGGCAGAAUGUCUUCACACAAUUCAGCUACGGCAAAGGUCGAGAUGUCACAUUCAAACCUGUGUCACGUGUCAUGAGCGAGAGCCCAUUGUCCUCUUCCUUCCCUGUGGUCACGUGAUCACGUGCUCGUCGUGCUCGGAGACCAUGGUCAGCUGUGCCUCGUGUGGGGGGAAGAUUCUGGGCUCGUGUGUCCUCGCUCCACCAAGUCCCUCGUGCGGGACAAGCAGGGGUCUGAAUGCAGCGUGACGACAUCGUCACGUGGGAGGCUUCAUGUCCAGCCAGACGUCCUGCCGCCUGUACCUUGAGUAGAAGAGUAUUGACAAUGCAAGCAAUGCAAGCAAUUACCAUGCAAGCCUUAUAGUCUGCAGCUUUGACUACAGACAAUGGGACACGAGAAUUGAUGACUGAACCAAAAAAGGAUUUGCACCACGUCCUUCAGGUCCUUAAAAGUUGUAAUGAUGAUCUGCUUGAAGACAUCUGACGGUCCACAAAAAGUCAAAAGAUCAACUUAGUAUCUCAAGAUUUCACGAGCCGUGUCUUUUAAUUCUCAAAGGAGACCGCCUUGCUUACAAUAGUUGUAAACUCUCAUACCUCCAGGGAUACGAACACCACUGUCCACGCUGCUAGACACACCCAUCCAUGCUACUGGAGCUGACAGGCCGUUAGUACACGCGUCUUUGUACUAUGAUACAUGCCCCCGCCUGAGUCAUGUGAUUAGCUGAGCAAUGGAUGGGCCGACACCUGAUAAAGGCUUGAUUGUCCCGAGGGCAGAAUCUUGUGUUUGCUUUGAGAGUUGUGUGACUGCCGCUAGCAGACGACACAGCGGGAUCCAAGAUGGCGCAGCCCCGUAGGGCUUCAGGUGUUGGUCUCCGCGACUCUCGUUGGCGAGAGAUAACAAAGGCGCUCUAUGAGGAGGACGUCGAUGACUUUGUGAGAGGGUUCUACCCCGACUCACCCACACGCCGACAACUGCUGGCUGAGAGCCACAGACACAAGGCUAUUUUUGUCAGCGGAAAUCUUGGCAAAACCCUAACAGAUAGUUUCCGUGAUCUCUCUAAUCCUCUAAUGACUCUGAGUGGAAGAAAACUCAGCUUUCCGCAGGACUGGAGAGCCCCAUCCUCUAGAAAUGGCGCUAGCAGGGUUCUUCUACACCAGCACAGGCCAGAUAGAGUGCUGCAACUGUGGACUGCAGGUUAGGGAUGCCAAUGACCCCAGGAACUUGUCCAUGGAGAGUUCACAUGAAGCUUGCACCUCGCUGCGUGCACCUGGCACGGUACAAUGCUCAGGGACAGUCCUACAAGGGAAGUAAACUAAUCAGAGUGAAUUCUACGUCAGCCGUACUUGAGCUUCUGAGAAAAUAAUUUCAGGUCUGGGAUAGCUACACGUUUAAUAGGAAUAUGAUUAAUUACUGUAGAAAUAUGUAACUGAGGCGACAGCUUCAGCUUGUUUGUCAAGCUUGCAGGCAGGUCUGAGCUUUUUUUUUAAGAAUGAACAGAAGGAGGGAGUGUAUACAAGUGCAGAAGGCAUCACACCCAUUGCCUUACAUCCAUGAAUUUAGUUCAUCACCUUCUCAUCAUGCAGCAGUUAGUCCACCUCACACCAUCCUUCAGUAGGAGACUCGUGGUCAGAACAGCUGGCAAAAUAUUUUGAGAUUUGGAAGACAAAGUUGAGCAGUCACUAAACUAUUUAUUAGAAUAUAUAAAAGGCAGCACAGAUUAUAUGGAUGCGCUGCUCGCUCCCUUGUCUAUAUUUAUAUAUCUUUGUGGCACUAGGUCCUAUUGUGUUUUCUGUUGUUGAUUUGGCAUCACAGUUUUUAUAAAUGUUUUAAUUAUG